This 345-nucleotide unclassified non-coding RNA is filed under the name Hevea brasiliensis (rubber tree). Lineage: Eukaryota; Viridiplantae; Streptophyta; Magnoliopsida; Malpighiales; Euphorbiaceae. The record is from RNAcentral.
GAAUCUAAUAAAAUUCCUAUCUUUUUCUCUCCUAUCUCUUUUUUAUUCUCUCUCUCUUAUUCUCUAUUCUUCUCUCUUAACUCUCUCUUAUCCUCAAGAGCACUAACCUUAAUCUAAGGGUUUCUGUGACAAUAGCUUAUACAAUUCCACAAAUAUGCUAAGAGGUCAAUUCAACCAAACAGUAACUUGCCCUCAAUCGGUUCAAAAUUCCCCUCAAAACUAACAAAACUCAUUUCCCCUUUUCUUCAGAUAACAGCACUAAUCUCAAACUGUGGCAUCAUUUCAUUCACCUAAGUUCUCCCUCUACCAGCAUUCUGCAUUACAAAAUGGCAUGCACACAUAAAA